This 122-nucleotide small RNA is filed under the name Staphylococcus aureus. It matches the Rfam family "RNA Staph. aureus A", at positions 166 to 287 of the family's 287-position model. The record is from RNAcentral. Lineage: Bacteria; Bacillati; Bacillota; Bacilli; Caryophanales; Staphylococcaceae.
UUAAUUGUAAUAUUGUGAAAAUACAUUGCACACCUUGUUCAUCAAUGCUAUAAUUAGUUACAUAAUAAAUUGAACAUCUAAAUACACCAAAUCCCCUCACUACUGCCAUAGUGAGGGGAUUU